This is a long non-coding RNA of Phragmites australis (common reed), 1637 nucleotides long. RefSeq lists it as uncharacterized. The transcript is spliced from 3 exons. The record is from RefSeq and is a predicted model, not a curated record. Lineage: Eukaryota; Viridiplantae; Streptophyta; Magnoliopsida; Poales; Poaceae.
GCCAUCCGCCGCCUCACCCAAUCCCAGGCCGUCCUCCUCUGGGCCGCCCUCGAGGCGCUCCUCUCCUGGCUCGCCUUCUGUGCCGCCGCCAGGUUCGUCGGACGGGACCCCGCCCGUCACAAGAGCCUUUUCCGCGCCAGGUUCUCGGUCAGCCGCCUCGACUACAUCCUCGACAACCACGACUGGGCGGUCCAUCCCCCUGACCUACCACAGCUUGCUAUUCCUUCCCAUUUUUUCACCAUUCGCCGGUCUGAUUGAUGCCCAAGAUUGCAAUUUUAAUCUUCUUUUCUUUUCGCAUGAAUAAUUAAGCCUGCGAAGUUUCUAUUUUUAUUCACUCUCUCUCUUUCUCUCGCUGCUUAUUCUUUCCAGUUGGGUUUUGGAAUUCCCCUCCUUGCUUGGUUUACUUCGCCGCCGCGUUUUGGAUUUUCUGCUUCUUUGAUCGCUUCUUGGACGCGUCAUGGAUGUCCCUAUCAGACGGAGACCCUCGGCUUGGGUUGCUUCUUUUCCAUGGCACUGCUGUCUCUGAAUUUCUUGUAAAUUUUCCUUCCUUUCUGGCCUUCUGGGUCAAUUUGACUUCUCCAUUACUUCUUGCUUUUGACGUUUGUAUGUUGAGUGUGACUCUGCUGUUCCUUCUAAACCAUAUAAGCACAUUACGUUACAUGAAACUGGAAUCUUGCCAGUGGAAUGCACGAAGACCCUUGUAAUCCUGUCUCAACAGGACAUCUCCGGUCAUCAUAUGGAGCACUCAUUUUUGCGCAAUUCAUUCAUCUCUUUGGGACGUUUUUUUGGCCUUAUGAAAAUUGUAUUGUUGUACCUUGUCAAAAUCUAGGAUGAUCAGCAAGUACGGAGGAAAAGAAAAAAAAGAGCUGGGUGGUACGUUCUCAGUGGAUAGCUUGAUACUCUUCAUCGGAUUAGUCACCGUGCUUCUGUUAGCCAUCAAACAACGCAACGUUGAAGUUCACCGAGUUAAACCAGCUAAUGCUCCGGAUUAUCUUUUGUGAAUGAUCUCGAGUAUCACAUAACCACUAUCUCUAGCUGUCCUGCGCUUAAGCUGAUGGAAUGAAAAAUACAGAAUGAUCAAGAUAGUUUGAGAAUGUCGAUUAUGUGGUUGGUUGAUUGGCAUCAAGAUCCAGGUGGACCGUGCUGUCAUUCAGGUGGGUAAGGGUAAGAGUAAUAGGUCUGUCUCAUUUGAUAUUGCGAAUGGGUCUCCCUAAGAAAAUGCAAUUUGUCAACACCAAAAUUUCACAAAUAAGGUAUAACCAUGUGUUAUUAUACUUCAAAAAUCAUAUACUUCUAAUAUGAUUAGUAUUGCUACUACUUAAUAAUUAAAAUUUCAAUUUUAUCUAUAUCUAUACCUCUAUAAAAUACAUGAGUUGUGAUAAAAUCGGAUAAUCUUUAUCGUACAUUUUACACGAUCAAACGAUCUAAAGUAAAAGAUUUUCCCACAUUCCCUGUCCUAACUUUCCUUCCCCGCUAAUAUAAAAACCUCACGCCCGCUAACGGCGCACCCGCAUCCGCACCCUUGUCCCACGCGCUAGCACCCGCCGCCGACCGCCCGGCGCCUUGCCCUGAUGGCGCACCUCGCCGUCUCGAUGCCUCUCACCUCGCCACCUGGACGCCUUGCUGCUUGCCUCGGG